AAUCAAAUGUUGUCCGUGCAUUAACUCAUGAACCGUUCAACCAAAGCUUUUAAAAUUUUAAUAUGUUGUUACUGACAACUAAAUGAAGGUCAAGUUCAAUAAUGGCGAUUUUGACUUUUACCGUUCAGGAGUUAUGGUUCUUGAAAGAUUGAAAAAUGGAGUUUCCAGUCGUGUCCGUGCAUUUACGCAUGAACUGUUCUACCUGAGCUUCCCAAAUUUUUAUAUGUUGUUACUGAUGACAAAAUGGAGGUC
This 252-nucleotide long non-coding RNA is filed under the name Mytilus galloprovincialis (Mediterranean mussel). The record is from RNAcentral. Lineage: Eukaryota; Metazoa; Mollusca; Bivalvia; Mytilida; Mytilidae.